UCUAAUAUGGCAGAAUAGUGCUAUGAACUUAAAAUUCAUAUAUAAAGAUACAUCUUUUAUUAGAA
Molecule: transfer RNA, 65 nt
Filed under: Onomaus tenuis
Lineage: Eukaryota; Metazoa; Arthropoda; Insecta; Hemiptera; Miridae
Description: tRNA-Leu
Rfam family: tRNA
About the family: Transfer RNA (tRNA) molecules are approximately 80 nucleotides in length. Their secondary structure includes four short double-helical elements and three loops (D, anti-codon, and T loops).
Source: RNAcentral